Zea mays is the source of this 304-nucleotide non-coding RNA. NCBI's taxonomy places the organism in Eukaryota, Viridiplantae, Streptophyta, Magnoliopsida, Poales, Poaceae. The record is from Rfam.
GCUGAGCAAGUAGCGAUUGCUUGUAACCUGAGCGGGGGCAAUAAGGAAGUGUGGAUGUCAAUCGUGGUGCAUGUGCUUGGGUCUAGUGCUACAAACUGUGGACCACCCAUUCCAAGUUGUGUAGUGGGUUUCGGGUGCCUUGGCGAACACCUUUGCAUCCUAACACCUAAAGUGGCGGACAUUGCGUGAGGCUGGCUUCACAGAGCAGCGAGUACCGCCCGCCCCCAGCGGUAGAAGGAUAAUGAGCCGCUAUGCUCUAGGCCAAUUAGGGAACAUGUGCCCUCUAUGGUAGACCACUAUCUUU